Molecule: ribosomal RNA, 490 nt
Filed under: uncultured bacterium
Lineage: Bacteria
Description: partial 16S ribosomal RNA
Rfam family: Bacterial small subunit ribosomal RNA
Source: RNAcentral
AAUGAACGCUGGCGGCAUGCCUUACACAUGCAAGUCGAACGGCAGCAUGACCUAGCUUGCUAGGUUGAUGGCGAGUGGCGAACGGGUGAGUAAUGCAUCGGAACGUGCCUUUUAGUGGGGGAUAACGUAGCGAAAGUUACGCUAAUACCGCAUAUUCUCUGAGGAGGAAAGCAGGGGACCUUCGGGCCUUGCGCUAGAAGAGCGGCCGAUGUCGGAUUAGCUAGUUGGUGAGGUAAAGGCUCACCAAGGCAACGAUCCGUAGCGGGUCUGAGAGGAUGAUCCGCCACAGUGGGACUGAGACAAGGCCAAGCUCCCUACGGGAGGCGGGAGGGGGGAAUUUUGGAGAAGGGGCGCAAGCCUGACCCAGCCGUGCCGCGUGAGAGAAGAAGGCCUUGGGGUUGAAAGGCUCUUUCGGGGGGGAAGAAACCGCACCCCCAAAUACGGGGUGGGGAUGACGGAACAAGAAAAAGAAGCACGGGCAACCUACGUC